This 73-nucleotide transfer RNA is filed under the name uncultured Solirubrobacteraceae bacterium. Its description in RNAcentral is "tRNA-His-GTG". It matches the Rfam family "tRNA". From Rfam's summary of the family: Transfer RNA (tRNA) molecules are approximately 80 nucleotides in length. Their secondary structure includes four short double-helical elements and three loops (D, anti-codon, and T loops). The record is from RNAcentral. Lineage: Bacteria; Bacillati; Actinomycetota; Thermoleophilia; Solirubrobacterales; Solirubrobacteraceae.
GUGGCCGUGGUGUAGCGGCAGCACUCGGGGUCGUGAACCCUGCAGCGUCGGUUCGAUCCCGGCCGGCCACCCA